CCUACGGGAGGCAGCAGUGAGGAAUAUUGGACAAUGGGCGCAAGCCUGAUCCAGCCAUGCCGCGUGCAGGAAGACGGUCCUAUGGAUUGUAAACUGCUUUUAUACAGGAAGAAACACCUCUACGUGUAGAGACUUGACGGUACUGUAUGAAUAAGCAUCGGCUAACUCCGUGCCAGCAGCCGCGGUAAUACGGAGGAUGCAAGCGUUAUCCGGAAUCAUUGGGUUUAGAGGGUCCGUAGGCGGUUUAAUAAGUCAGUGGUGAAAGCCCAUCGCUCAACGAUGGAACGGCCAUUGAUACUGUUAAACUUGAAUUAUUAGGAAGUAACUAGAAUAUGUAGUGUAGCGGUGAAAUGCUUAGAGAUUACAUGGAAUACCAAUUGCGAAGGCAGGUUACUACUAAUAUAUUGACGCUGAUGGACGAAAGCGUGGGGAGCGAACAGGAUUAGAUACCCUGGUAGUCCACGCCGUAAACGAUGGAUACUAGCUGUUCGGAGCAAUCUGAGUGGCUAAGCGAAAGUGAUAAGUAUCCCACCUGGGGAGUACGUUCGCAAGAAUGAAACUCAAAGGAUUGACGG
This 575-nucleotide ribosomal RNA is filed under the name uncultured bacterium. RNAcentral describes it as "bacterial SSU rRNA". It matches the Rfam family "Bacterial small subunit ribosomal RNA", at positions 338 to 916 of the family's 1533-position model. The record is from RNAcentral.